Molecule: transfer RNA, 73 nt
Organism: Ovis aries (sheep)
Lineage: Eukaryota; Metazoa; Chordata; Mammalia; Artiodactyla; Bovidae
Rfam family: tRNA
About the family: Transfer RNA (tRNA) molecules are approximately 80 nucleotides in length. Their secondary structure includes four short double-helical elements and three loops (D, anti-codon, and T loops).
Source: Rfam
UCCCUAGUGGUCCAGUGGCUAGGACUCUGAGCUUCCAAUCCAGACGGCCUGGGUUUAAUCCCUGGUCAGGGAA